UGUCACAUCUGUGAAUGUGGAAUGUGUUUUGUUGGUUGAUUGAAAAACAAGAAAACGUAAUAAAACUUUAAAUUGAAAAAGAAAAAAAAUCUGACACAGCGGUUGCAUUAAGAACCAGUGUAUCUUUAAUUAUAUGUAGAACAUGUAUCUUUCGUCAAAGUUGUUGAUGAGUAUUUCUGUUAUCUGGUGUAGCUAUCUAUAAUCCCUCCGGAUAUUUUGGAGGCAUUUCUGAACAUGGUGUCAAUGUAAACAGAGAUUUGUGGAUAUAAAUAGGCAUAUUAUCGAACAAAACAUAAAUGUAUUGUGUAACAUGUCAUAUGAGUGUCAUCUGAAGAAGAUUAUCAAAAGGUUAGUGAUUCAUUUUAUCUCUAAUUCGGCUUUUGUGACUCUAUCUUUGGCUGGAAAAAAUGGCUGUGUUUUUCUUUUGAUUUGGUGGUGGUCUAACAUAAAUAUAUAUUGUGUUUUUGCUGUAAAACAUUUUAAAAAUCGGACAUGACGGGUACAUUAACAAAAUGUUUAUCUUUCAUUUGCUGUAUUGGACUUGUUAAUGUGUGAAAGUUAAAUAUUUCUAAUGAAUAUUUUUGAAUUCCCCGCGCCACCUUUUCAGCUGAAUGGGAGGGGGGGGCUUCUAUCCAGAGCUUCUAUCCAGAGCCCUGUGCUGCCCUGUGGACAACCAGAGAGGGCUUCUGAAGAAGGAGAAGCUCAGCUCAGCUGCUCAGUUCCUACAGCUCCCCUUGGAGGAUGCGCACAUGAGCAGGACCAGGAGGAGGAACAUUGGAGGAGAGCAGGAAGAAGGAUACUGGCGGAACUACAGGGUCAGGAUUGAUUUAGGCUCACUGAGACAGAGCUGGAGCUGGAGACAGCCAGAUUUCAGACCCUGACCCUGGCAGGGAGACUGUGGUGUGAGGGAGGGAGGGGAGACAUGCUGUCGAUAAACGGGUUUUGAAUUAGCCUGUGUACCAGUCUGUUUAGCAAUGACACAGACUACAAGGAAUGGAAUGUUUGCUAAACAGGCUGGUACACAGGCUAGUGGAAUGUUAGCUAAACAGGCUGGUAUCCAGGCUAGUGCAAUGUUAGCUAAACAGGCUGGUACUCAGGCUAGUGGAAUGUUAGCUAAACAGGCUGGUACCCAGGCUAGUGGAAUGUUAGCUAAACAGGCUGGUACCCAGGCUCUGACUUCAUUUCCGGUCACAACUUGCAGACUUGUUUUCGAGUUGCUGUGCGUUUUGUUGCCAACCUAUUUUGCUGCCUGACAACUUUACGGUUUUUACUUUUUAAUUACCGUUUAUAUAUAUAUAUAUAUUUUUUUCCUCAACUUUUUCACUCUGGACGCUUUAUCUGGACACGAUUCAUCAGGACCUCCAACAGCCGAAGCUAAGUAGUAACAUUAACAUGAUGCCUUCUAAUUGCAGUCGCUGUACUCGCCUUACGGCGAGGAUAGCUGUGCUACAAGCCCAGCUUCAGACGCAAUCGUUAGGCAAGGGUAAUUUCAGUGUAGGAAAGGAUGAAACAGCGUCUGUGCCACCAGUAAGUACAGAUAGUAGUAUAAAUCCCCUGGCACAGUCCCCGCAGCCGGACAACUUUCUCACGGUUUCUGUAAGGAAAUGCUGUAGGAACACUCAACCGGUGUCGCUCAUUCAGCCGACAGAAACUUUCAACCGGUUUUCCCCAUUAAGCAGCCAGUCAGAGUCAGAGGCCGAGUCUUCUCUGGUCUCUACUCCUCCCGUUACGGGGUCUGAGACGCCGAAGCUUCCCACCAUUAGCUCUGACAAAUUGAAAACUCUAGUCAUUGGCGACUCCAUUACCCGCAGUAUUAGACUUAAAACGAAUCAUCCAGCGAUCAUACACUGUUUACCAGGGGGCAGGGCUACCGACGUUAAGGCUAAUCUGAAGAUGGUGCUGGCUAAAGCUAAAACUGGCGAGUGUAGAGAGUAUAGAGAUAUUGUUAUCCACGUCGGCACCAACGAUGUUCGGAUGAAACAAUCAGAGAUCACCAAGCGCAACAUAGCUUCUGCGUGUAAAUCAGCUAGAAAGAUGUGUCGGCAUCGAGUAAUUGUCUAUGGCCCCUUCCCAGUUAGGGGGAGUGAUGAGCUCUACAGCAGUCUCACAACUCUCAAUCGCUGGUUGAAAACUGUUUUCUGCCCCUCCCAAAAGAUAGAAUUUGUAGAUAAUUGGCCCUCUUUCUGGGACUCACCCACAAACAGGACCAAGCCUGACCUGCUGAGGAGUGACGGACUCCAUCCUAGCUGGAGGGGUGCUCUCAUCUUAUCUACCAACAUAGACAGGUCUCUAACUCCUCUAGCUCCACAAUGAAAUAGGGUGCAGGCCAGGCAGCAGGCUGUUAGCCAGCCAGCCUGGCAGCAUAGUGGAGUCUGCCACUAGCACAGUCAGUGUAGUCAGCUCAGCUAUCACCAUUGAGACCGUGUUCGCCUUAGCAAUCUCACUAGGAUAAAGACCACCUCCAUUUCUGUCAUUAUUGAAAGAGAUCAUGAUACCUCACAUCUCAAAAUAGUGCUACUUAAUUUUAGAUCCCUUACUUCAAAGGCAAUUAUAGUCAAUGAACUAAUCACUGAUCAUAAUCUUGAUGUGAUUGGCCUGACUGAAACAUGGCUUAAGCCUGAUGAAUUUACUGUGUUAAAUGAGGCCUCACCUCCUGGCUACACUAGUGACCAUAUCCCCUGUGCAUCCUGCAAAGGCGGAGGUGUUGCUAACAUUUACGAUAGCAAAUUUCAAUUUACAAAAAAAAAAAAUGACGUUUUCGUCUUUUGAACUUCUAGUCAUGAAAUCGAUGCAGUCUACUCAAUCACUUUUUAUAGCUACUGUUUACAGGCCUCCUGGGUCAUAUACAGCGUUCCUCACUGAGUUCCCUGAAUUGCUAUCGGGCCUUGUAGUCAUAGCAGAUAAUAUUCUAAUCUUUGGUGACUUUAAUAUUCACAUGGAAAAGUCCACAGACCCACUCCAAAAGGCUUUCGGAGCCAUCCAACAUGUCUCUGGACCCACUCACUGUCACAGUCAUACGCUGGACCUAGUUUUGUCCCAUGGAAUAAAUGUUGUGGAUCUUAAUGUUUUUCCUCAUAAUCCUGGACUAUCGGACCACCAUUUUAUUACGUUUGCAAUUGCAACAAAUAAUCUGCUCAGACCCCAACCAAGGAACAUCAAAAGUCGUGCUAUGAAUUCACAGACAACACAAAGAUUCCUUGAUGUCCUUCCAGAUUCCCUCUGUCUACCCAAGGACGCCAGAGGACAAAAAUCAGUUAACCACCUAACUGAGGAACUCAAUUUAACCUUGCGCAAAACCCUAGAUGCAGUUGCACCCCUAAAAACUAAAAACAUUUCUCAUAAGAAACUAGCUCCCUGGUAUACAGAAAAUACCCGAGCUCUGAAGAAAGCUUCCAAAAAAUUGGAACGGAAAUGGCGCCACACCAAACUGGAAGUCUUCCGACUAGCUUGGAAAGACAGUACCGUGCAGUACCGAAGAGCCCUUACUGCUGCUCGAUCAUCCUAUUUUUCUAACUUUAAUUGAGGAAAAUAAGAACAAUCCGAAAUUCCUUUUUGAUACUGUCGCAAAGCUAACUAAAAAGCAGAAUUCCCCAAGAGAGGAUGACAUUCACUUUAGCAGUGAUAAAUUCAUGAACUUCUUUGAGGAAAAGAUUAUGAUUAUUAGAAAGCAAAUUACGGACUCCUCUUUAAAUCUGCGUAUUCCUUCAAAGCUCAGUUGUCCUGAGUCUGCACAACUCUCCCAGGACCUAGGAUCAAGAGAGACGCUCAAGUGUUUUAGUACUAUAUCUCUUGACACAAUGAUGAAAAUAAUCAUGGCCUCUAAACCUUCAAGCUGCAUACUGGACCCUAUUCCAACUAAACUACUGAAAGAGCUGCUUCCUGUGCUUGGCCCUCCUAUGUUGAACAUAAUAAACGGCUCUCUAUCCACCGGAUGUGUACCAAACUCACUAAAAGUGGCAGUAAUAAAGCCUCUCUUGAAAAAGCCAAAACUUGACCCAGAAAAUGUGAAAAUCUAUCAGCCUAUAUCAAAUCUUCCAUUCCUCUCAAAAACUGAAGACAAACAAUGUAUACCAAAUGCUUCAGUCUGGUUUUAGAACCCAUCAUAGCACUGAGACGGCACUUGUGAAGGUGGUAAAUUACAUUUUAAUGGCAUCGGACCGAGGCUCUGCAUCUGUCCUCGUGCUCCUAGACCUUAGUGCUGCUUUUGAUACCAUCGAUCACCACAUUCUUUUGGAGAGAUUGGAAACCCAAAUUGGUCUACACGGACAAGUUCUGGCCUGGUUUAGAUCUUAUCUGUCGGAAAGAUAUCAGUUUGUCUCUGUGAAUGGUUUGUCCUCUGACAAAUCAACUGUAAAUUUCGGUGUUCCUCAAGGUUCCGUUUUAGGACCACUAUUGUUUUCACUAUAUAUUUUACCUCUUGGGGAUGUUAUUCGAAAACAUAAUGUUAACGUUCACUGCUAUGCGGAUGACACACAGCUGGACAUUUCAAUGAAACAUGGUGAAGCCCAAAAAUUGCCCUUGCUAGAAGCAUGUGUUUCAGACAUAAGGAAGUGGAUGGCUGCAAACUUUCUACUUUUAAACUCAGACAAAACAGAGAUGCUUGUUCUAGGUCCCAAGAAACAAAGAGAUCCUCUGUUGAAUCUGACAAUCAAUCUUAAUGGUUGUACAGUCGUCUCAAAUAAAACUGUGAAGGACCUCGGCGUUACUCUGGACCCUGAUCUCUCUUUUGAAGAACAUAUCAAGACCAUUUCAAGGACAGCUUUUUUCCAUCUACGUAACAUUGCAAAAAUCAGAAACUUUCUGUCCAAAAAUGAUGCAGAAAAAUUCAUCCAUGCUUUUGUCACUUCUAGGUUAGACUACUGCAAUGCUCUACUUUCCGGCUACCCGGAUAAAGCACUAAAUAAACUUCAGUUAGUGCUAAAUACGGCUGCUAGAAUCCUGACUAGAACCCAAAAAUUUGAUCAUAUUACUCCAGUGCUAGCCUAUCUACACUGGCUUCCUGUCAAAGCAAGGGCUAAUUUCAAGGUUUUACUGCUAACCUACAAAGCAUUACAUGGGCUUGCUCCUACCUAUCUCUCUGAUUUGGUCCUGCCGUACAUACCUACACGUGCGCUGCAGUCACAAGACGCAGGCCUCCUAAUUGUCCCUAGAAUUUCUAAGCAAACAGCUGGAGGCAGGGCUUUCUCCUAUAGAGCUCAAUUUUUAUGGAACGGUCUGCCUACCCAUGUCAGAGACGCAAACUCGGUCUCAACCUUUAAGUCUUUACUGAAGACUCAUCUCUUCAAUGGGUCAUAUGAUGUGGUCAUCCUGUCUGGGUUGGUGCCCCCUUGGGUUGUGCCAUGGCGGAGAUCUUUGUGGGCUAUACUCAGCCUUGUCUCAGGAUGGUAAGUUGGUGGUUGAAGAUAUCCCUCUAGUGGUGUGGGAGCUGUGCUUUGGCAAAGUGGGUGGGGUUAUAUCCUUCCUGUUUGGCCCUGUCCGGGGGUGUCCUCGGAUGGGGCCACAGUGUCUCCUGACCCCUCCUGUCUCAGCCUCCAGUAUUUAUGCUGCAGUAGUUUAUGUGUCGGGGGGCUAGGGUCAGUUUGUUAUAUCUGGAGUACUUCUCGUGUCCUAUUCGGUGUCCUUCCUAUUCGGUGUCCUGUGUGAAUCUAAGUGUGCGUUCUCUAAUUCUCUCCUUCUCUCUUUCUUUCUCUCUCUUGGAGGACCUGAGCCCUAGGACCAUGCCCCAGGACUACCUGACAUGAUGACUCCUUGCUGUCCCCAGUCCACCUGACUGUGCUGUUGCUCCAGUUUCAACUGUUCUGCCUUAUUAUUAUUCGACCAUGCUGGUCAUUUAUGAACAUUUGAACAUCUUGGCCAUGUUCUGUUAUAAUCUCCACUCGGAACAGCCAGAAGAGGACUGGCCACCCCACAUAGCCUGGUUCCUCUCUAGGUUUCUUCCUAGGUUUUGGCCUUUCUAGGGAGUUUUUCCUAGUCACCGUGCUUCUACACCUGCAUUGCUUGCUGUUUGGGGUUUUAGGCUGGGUUUCUGUACAGCACUUUGAGAUAUCAGCUGAUGUACGAAGGGCUAUAUAAAUACAUUUGAUUUUGAUUUGAUUUGCUAGUGGAAUGUUAGCUAAACAGGCUGGUACUCAGGCUAGUGGAAUGUUAGCUAAGCAUGCUGGUACUCAGGCUAGUGGAAUGUUAGCUAAACAGGCUGGUAUCCAGGCUGGUGGAAUGUUAGCUAAACAGGCUGAUGCCCAGGCUAGUGGGAUGUUAGCUAACAGGCUGGUACACAGGCUAGUUAUGAAUUUAUUCAGCUGAAUUACAGUGCAGUGCCUUCUACUGCCCCAUGAUAUUUACCGGAUGUAUACUAAUAUACUUAAAUGCAAAAUAUGAACAGUUACAUGUGUUUUGUGCUGCUGUUUAUUUUGUGGGGGAAAAUAAAUGCAUGUAUUGAUAACCUACAGUGUAAAGUGUAAAUACAAUUAUAUUGUCAUUGGAAUACAAUGUUUGCCACAACAAUGUAAUCUCUGACAGUGUAAUCUCUGGAAUGAAUUCCUCUCUCUCUGGGUGAAGAGAUACUGUGGAGUAUUAAAUGGAUGAUGAUUGCCUCCCUAUUUGGGAGCCUUUUAUAUUCAGUCUCCUUUGUUGGGUUGUUAGUAUUCACUCCAUACGCCUUCAAAUAAAAAAGGAGGAUGACCAUAAUGCUUUCGUGAUAAGGAGAAGAGAGAGAACAGAAAGGGAGGGGAAAGACCUCAGUGGUGAGUGUGGGGGUGUGGGGGGUGGGUGGAGAUAAUGGAGGAUUAAUGACGUAGUUUCUAGCCUUUUGAGCUUGAGCUGGAACUGCUGUUCACCCAAUUGAAUACCCCCCUAUCUCUGUGCCUCUGCCGCUCUCUCUCAAUUCAAUUCAAGGGCUUUAUUGGCAUGGGAAACAUAUGUUAACACUGCCAAAGCAAGUGAAGUAGAUAAUAAACAAAGGUGAAAUGAACAAUAAAAAUGAACAGUAAACGUUACUCUCUCUCUCUCUCAAUUCAAUUCAAUGGCGUUAUUGGCAUGGAAAGCAUAUGUUAACAUUGCCACAGCAAGUGAUGUAGAUAAUAAACAAAAGUGAAAUAAACAAUAACAAUUAUUUCUUUCUCUCUCUCUCUCUCUCUCUCUCUCUCUCUCUCUCUCUCUCUCUCUCUCAUACAAACACACUCAAACACAUACCUUGACGUGAUUGGUCCACACGGCACACCGGAUGCUCACAGAGAAGAAUAUUUGGAUCUGUGCUGCUCUUCAUACAGUACUGGACGUGUCAUUUACUGAGAAAUAAAGAGGUGAGGACUGAUAACUUGGAGUAAUAGGUUCUACGUAGAGGGGAGAAAGAAGAACAAGUGAGACAGAGAGGAGGAGAGAAAGAGAAGAACUCUUAGCCACCCCACUUAACCAUCCUCAGGCGUGUCUCUCAGCAGUUCUGCGUCUCAUUGUAGAAGAGAGUACAAGUAGGCUACAGAUUCUCAAAGAAACCACUGUCUUUGUACUAUUCUGCACAUCCCACUCUAACUCUUCCAUUUCCCGGGGCUGGACUUCACACAGAACAGCAAGAAGAACAGUCAUCGGUGGAUAGAGAUUGACGUUGAACUACAGACCGUAGAAAACCUGGGGCUAGCAGAGACUACUAUGGAGUCAGCACAGAAUAAAGCUCAACCAACCUCUCCUCAUAAACAUACAGUGAAGAACAGGUCCAAGUCAACAGAUGAGAUUCAACAAGCCAAAAAGGUGGACGACAUUAUACCGUCCGUCAGUUUGCUCAUUUUGAGCUCAGGAGUGGCGCAGCAGUCUAAGGCACUGCAUCUCAGUGCCCAGAGGCAUCACUACAGACCCUGGUUUGAUCCUGGGCUGUAUCACAACCAGCCGUGAUAAAGUGUCCCAUAGGGCAGCGAACAAUUGGCCCAGCGGCCAGAGUAGGCAGUCAUUGUAAAUAAGAAUUUAUUCUUAACUGACUUGCCUAGUUAAAUAAAGGUUAAAAAAAAUGUAAAUGUCAUGUGUAUUCAAAAGCAUAUUGAUCCAUCUCAUUGUUUUACAGCUGGGAGUGCCCCUUGCUGGUGUGUUUAAACCACCUGAGCUGCAGGUCUUUCUUUCAUUACAACACAUGGCAUGUUAUGGCGGAGAGAGGGGGAGAGAGAGAGAUGACUGCCAAUUCCUUAAACUAGUGAUGGAACUAGUGUUAAAUCAGAUAGAUAACUUUGGUCUGGUUUCCUUUUGUUGGUAUGCUAACGAUAGUCUUUCUCCAGGCUUUUCACACGACACAGAAAUCAUUGCCAGGGAAGCCGGAGACUGAGAAUAAGGAGCCCCCAGAGAGUCCAUCCUCAUCAGAAGAACUGAAAUGAAGGGGCAGACAGCACCAGGCAGAGAGUCAGAGUCAUGGGCUACAUCAAUCAUUCCUCUGGAAAUCUAUUCAGUUUUCUGCAGUUUGUAUUCUCAUAACGACAAAAAGGCUGUACAUUUUUUGUAAACGUCUUAUGAAUGUGGUUGUUUACUGAAUAAGAAAAAGUGUCUAAUGCAUUGUUUGUGAGGAUAUGAUGUUGAAAGAAUGACUAGAGACUUACUCUACAAAACACAGGCACUUAAUAGAAAGCUGUAAUUAAGCGAGUGGAAAACAUAUGUGCAUGUGCCAGUUGGGAUGUGUGUAAGUAUGAGGUAUAGUGGAUUUGUUAUGUACACUCUCCUAAAACAUUUUGUUUUUUGGAACUUAUGUCAGAAUUAAUGUCAGUAUGCACUUUGAAAAUGUGAAGCAAUUGAGCCUGUAAAUAAACCUUGUGUAUGUUCAAAAAACAA
Molecule: long non-coding RNA, 8799 nt
Organism: Oncorhynchus nerka (sockeye salmon)
Lineage: Eukaryota; Metazoa; Chordata; Actinopteri; Salmoniformes; Salmonidae
Exons: 4
Source: RefSeq, a predicted model, not a curated record